CGCGAAGAACCUUACCUGGGCUAGAAUGCUGGGAGACUGUGAGUGAAAGCUCAUUUUGUAGCAAUACACUGCCAGUAAGGUGCUGCAUGGCUGUCGUCAGCUCGUGCCGUGAGGUGUUGGGUUAAGUCCCGCAACGAGCGCAACCCCCAUCACUAGUUGCCAUCAGGUAACGCUGGGAACUCUAGUGAAACUGCCGUCGUAAGACGUGAGGAAGGAGGGGAUGAUGUCAAGUCAUCAUGGCCUUUAUGCCCAGGGCUACACACGUGCUACAAUGGGGCGUACAAAGGGCUGCAACAUAGCGAUAUGAAGCUGAUCCCAAAAAACGCCUCUCAGUUCAGAUUGGAGUCCGCAACUCGACUCCAUGAAGCUGGAAUCGCUAGUAAUCGUAUAUCAGCAAUGAUACGGUGAAUACGUUCCCGGGCCUUGUACACACCG
This 435-nucleotide ribosomal RNA is filed under the name uncultured bacterium. Its description in RNAcentral is "bacterial SSU rRNA". It matches the Rfam family "Bacterial small subunit ribosomal RNA", at positions 960 to 1392 of the family's 1533-position model. The record is from RNAcentral.